This 468-nucleotide ribosomal RNA is filed under the name uncultured bacterium. RNAcentral's name for it is "partial 16S ribosomal RNA". It matches the Rfam family "Bacterial small subunit ribosomal RNA", at positions 28 to 507 of the family's 1533-position model. The record is from RNAcentral.
GACGAACGCUGGCGGCGUGCUUAACACAUGCAAGUCGAACGGAAAGGCCCUGCUUUUGUGGGGUGCUCGAGUGGCGAACGGGUGAGUAACACGUGAGUAACCUGCCCUUGACUUUGGGAUAACUUCAGGAAACUGGGGCUAAUACCGGAUAGGAGCUCCUGCUGCAUGGUGGGGGUUGGAAAGUUUCGGCGGUUGGGGAUGGACUCGCGGCUUAUCAGCUUGUUGGUGGGGUAGUGGCUUACCAAGGCUUUGACGGGUAGCCGGCCUGAGAGGGUGACCGGCGACAUUGGGACUGAGAGACGGCCCAGACGCCUACGGGAGGCAGCAGUGGGGAAUAUUGCACAAUGGGCGGAAGCCUGAUGCAGCAACGCCGCGUGCGGGAUGACGGCCUUCGGGUGGUAAACCGCUGUCGCCUGUGACGAAGCGUGAGUGACGGUAAUGGGUAAAGAAGCACCGGCUAACUACGUG